UACGUAGGGUGCGAGCGUUGCCCGGAUUUAUUGGGCGUAAAGGGCGCGUAGGCGGUCACGCACGUCCGUUGUGAAAUCGCUCGGCUCAACUGGGCGGGGUCAGCGGAUACGGCGUGGCUGGAGCAAGCUAGGGGGCAAUGGAAUUCCCGGUGUAGUGGUGGAAUGCGUAGAGAUCCGGAAGAACACCGGAGGCGAAGGCGGCUUGCUGGGCGUGAUCUGACGCUGAGGCGCGAAAGCGUGGGGAGCGAACAGG
Molecule: ribosomal RNA, 253 nt
Filed under: uncultured bacterium
Lineage: Bacteria
Description: partial 16S ribosomal RNA
Rfam family: Bacterial small subunit ribosomal RNA
Source: RNAcentral